RNAcentral lists this ribosomal RNA (358 nucleotides) under uncultured Alphaproteobacteria bacterium. RNAcentral describes it as "bacterial SSU rRNA". It matches the Rfam family "Bacterial small subunit ribosomal RNA", at positions 350 to 725 of the family's 1533-position model. The record is from RNAcentral. Lineage: Bacteria; Pseudomonadati; Pseudomonadota; Alphaproteobacteria.
AGCAGUGGGGAAUCUUGGACAAUGGGGGCAACCCUGAUCCAGCCAUGCCGCGUGAGUGAUGAAGGCCCUAGGGUCGUAAAGCUCUUUCGCCUGUGAUGAUAAUGACAGUAGCAGGUAAAGAAACCCCGGCUAACUCCGUGCCAGCAGCCGCGGUAAUACGGAGGGGGUUAGCGUUGUUCGGAAUUACUGGGCGUAAAGCGCGCGUAGGCGGACUAUUAAGUCAGGGGUGAAAUCCCGGGGCUCAACCCCGGAACUGCCCUUGAUACUGGUAGUCUUGAGUUCGAGAGAGGUGAGUGGAAUUCCGAGUGUAGAGGUGAAAUUCGUAGAUAUUCGGAGGAACACCAGUGGCGAAAGCGAC